RNAcentral lists this long non-coding RNA (735 nucleotides) under Vigna radiata. Its description in RNAcentral is "long non-coding RNA (VRAD_LNC002734)". The record is from RNAcentral. Lineage: Eukaryota; Viridiplantae; Streptophyta; Magnoliopsida; Fabales; Fabaceae.
GGUGUUAAAGAAACAUUUUCAAUUAAAUAUUUAAUUAGGAUGAUGUAUGGAGAAGAGAGUUACGUAAGUGUAGAAGAUGAGAAAGGUUAAGUGAGUGGAGUUUGGUAAAACCGUGGGGUCCACAUGAGUGGUUAAAAGGAAAUAAAAUAAAAGUAUGGAAAGUGGUGGAAGUUUUACGUAAGAGUUUAUAAGAUGGGUUUAGUAAAAUGGAUGAACCAUGUGGGGCCACUUAAGUAUAUAUAUCUUAGUUUAAUAUUUUGAAUAUAAAGUGGGGUCCAUUUGGGUAGGUGAAAGAGUUUUGAUAGGAUUUAGAAAAAUAGGGGUGUGUGUUUAGUAGAUAGUUAACUAUUUUAUUUUGGAUUGACUUGUCAUUAUUUUGGGGUUGAUUAAUGAUUGUUUUGAGAAUGUUGGGGAUAUGUAAAUAUUAUUGGGUGGUUGUGUGAGUAUGGAGAUGAUUAUCUCUUGUGAUGUUGGAUUUAUGUUUAUGUGAUGCCCGAUGAAGCUCUUGGAAGAGUGGUGGAAGUAGCACUAGUACUUGCCCGAUGAAGCUCUUUGAGAAUAAAGUGGUGGGGGUGUAUACUUGUCCGGUGAAGCCCAAGAGGGUGGUGGAAAGCAUAUACUUGCCCGGGGAAGCUCUAAGAGAGUGGUGGGAAGUGGUGUACUUGCCGAUGAAGCCUUUCAGAGAGUGGUGGGAAAUGUCUUUGUGUAACGGUAUCGUAAAGUGUACCUGCCCGG